This 504-nucleotide ribosomal RNA is filed under the name uncultured bacterium. RNAcentral's name for it is "bacterial SSU rRNA". It matches the Rfam family "Bacterial small subunit ribosomal RNA", at positions 29 to 524 of the family's 1533-position model. The record is from RNAcentral.
AACGAACGCUGGCGGCGUGCCUAACACAUGCAAGUCGAACGAGAAUGCAGGCUUCGGUCUGCUAGUAAAGUGGCGCACGGGUGAGUAACACGUGGAUAACGUACAUUGUAGUGGGGGAUAACCAGGUGAAAGCUUGGCUAAUACCGCAUGAGUCUGUCGGGACGCAGGUUUUGACAGGGAAAGUGAGCAAUCACGCUACGAGAUCGGUCCGCGGCCCAUUAGCUAGUUGGCGGGGUAAUGGCCCACCAAGGCGACGAUGGGUAGCUGGUCUGAGAGGAUGAUCAGCCAUACUGGAACUGAGACACGGUCCAGACUCCUACAGGAGGCAGCAGUGGGGAAUUUUGCGCAAUGGGCGAAAGCCUGACGCAGCAACGCCGCGUGUGUGACGAAGGCCCUAGGGUUGUAAAGCACUGUGGGAGGGGAAGAAAAAACCGGAGUGUAUCCGGUCUUGACGGUACCCUGUUAGAAAGCACCGGCUAACUCCGUGCCAGCAGCCGCGGUAAU